This is a non-coding RNA of Peromyscus maniculatus bairdii (prairie deer mouse), 1999 nucleotides long. The record is from RefSeq and is a predicted model, not a curated record. Lineage: Eukaryota; Metazoa; Chordata; Mammalia; Rodentia; Cricetidae.
CGUGCCGGCCACGCCCCCUUCCGCACCCACAGCCAAUGAGUGGCGUCGGCCAAUCGCGGGAGGCGAGAGCACCUCGAAUCUCCGGGCAAGUUAAGUUUAUCUCCGAGGCUCGGCGGUGAAGGGUGACCGCGGGUUAGUUAGGUAGUGGGGUGGGAGGGACUCCAGUCUGCCAAUGAGAAGCGGAGGGUGUGGUGUAUGCAAAUUAACCCGGGACUCUAGCGCCACCCUCAGGACAAGCCACGCCCCCUCUGCGAGGUCUGGGCCGAAUGGAGUGAGAUUAAAUAGCUGGAAGCUAGAGCUCGCUAGAGGAUCUGAGACCGAGCUAAACAUUUCCUGAUCUCUCGGGGGUGGGCAGGCUGGACGCUAGAACGUUCCCUCCUCCGGGGCAGUGGUUCGGCUUUCUCUCGGUCGAAAUCUAAGAAUAGCUGUAAGGAAGACUGUGGUCUUGCAUCACUUUGCACCUAGAGAUCUCAAAGAACUUCAUGCUUCGCUCCGUGAGUCUGGAGCGAAGGACCAGCUAGCUACCUGAGGCUGUAGGGAUAGAGGUCUGAGUUCUGUACAGCUAAUGGAGUGGGGACCCGGAGACACAUCUUUGGUUUAGGAGGUUUUCCCUCUCUCCAUCAUUCUCACAGCAAAGAAAGUUCCCUUAUCUAGCAUGAAUAGGUCAGAGGUUCCUACACACACACACACACACACACACACACACACACACACACACACACACACACACACACAUAUUCUGUCCGAGGCAACUGGUUAGAGAUGUGCAAAGCACAAUUCCUGCUUGGGAAGGUAGGUUCUGAGUACGAGUUGCCAUUUAAAAUGAUUGAACCCUCCUCUCCCAAAGCUGACAACGGUGAGUCAGGGUUUAGCUUCUACGUUCCAGAGACAGAAGACAGAAGCCACUGCGGAAAGCUCUUUUGGCCGGAUGCCCAACCCAGGCAAGUCAGGGAGCCAGGUACCCCGCGGAACCAACCAUAGGAAGAGGAUUGUAGACCAGAUUCCGGCAGCCUGCUCCCCAGUGAGAACAAAGACUGCGGAACGAACACCUGAUUGGUGCCCGGUGCUCACCGGUGUUGCGGGAGCCCAUGACAGGGUGCCUCUGCCCCUGGUGCAGAGCACCAGGCUCCCAGGAACUGCAGUUCCCCAGCCGGCCUUGGCGGUGACCACACCGCACUGCGUGCUAUGACAUCACCUGUUUUCGCUCCUGAGAGCCUAAUCAGUAUUCUAGGCUUCUCCCCUUCUAAAGGUCUCAAGUGUGUUAGGAUUUAUGAAGGCCUGCAAUUUGUAUCUGUGGAGAUGAUUUAACAGAACUGACCCACUGGUUUACAUUUCUCGUAUUAUUUUUUAUUUAACACACUACCCUGCGUUAAGGAUUUAAUGUAGUAUGAUUGUAGUAUGAUGCAAAUUCCGGAAGGCGCACUUGGAGGAGCUCGCACUUCUAGCAUAACAAAGCCAUCAGACCAAACUGUGCUGUUCAAACUGCCAAUCUCUUCCAUCCUCAACAUCUGUCUCCCUUCCAUCCCCUUUAGAGACCUACACCUUAAACAAGCCUACACAAAGAACAAAGGAAAUGGAAAUCUGCCCACAUCGGGUUUAAAUAGACUGGAAAACCCCAAGGGUCUAGGUGAUAUGGUUAGAAUAAAGAGAGCACAGAAGAUGGACACGGCAGUAGUGACAGGGCAAAAAAACCACAGAAGGAGGAACAGAAAUGACUAGGAUCUCCAUGAAGAUUGUCCAUGUUGUCCAGACUAGAGAGCUAUUCUCACCUCAACCUUCUUAGCAAGCCAAAGAUACUCCGCUAUCCACUGCCUCCAGCACACAGGAAAGUGGGAAGGAGUCAACUGGAACAAAGAAAGACUGCAGUCUUUGCCAAUAGUGGGUAAAAUACUGAUUUUUGAAAUUUAAUUAAAAUAGAACUAUGUUAAUACAUGGCUUGAAGCUCCCCUGGGGCCAUAGAGGGGACAGUCUUGGCGAUAAAUCCUAAAGUUUGAAUUUU